This 253-nucleotide ribosomal RNA is filed under the name uncultured bacterium. RNAcentral's name for it is "partial 16S ribosomal RNA". It matches the Rfam family "Bacterial small subunit ribosomal RNA", at positions 524 to 776 of the family's 1533-position model. The record is from RNAcentral.
UACGUAGGCAGCAAGCGUUGUUCGGAGUUACUGGGCGUAAAGGGCGCGUAGGCGGCCUGUUAAGUCGAACGUGAAAUCCCCGGGCUCAACCCGGGAACUGCGUCCGAUACUGGUAGGCUUGAAUCCGGGAGAGGGAUGCGGAAUUCCAGGUGUAGCGGUGAAAUGCGUAGAUAUCUGGAGGAACACCGGUGGCGAAGGCGGCAUCCUGGACCGGCAUUGACGCUGAGGCGCGAAAGCCAGGGGAGCAAACGGG